AGGUUAAAGCAUUUCCUCUACAGCCAGGCAAGAUGUGAUAGAUCUCUGUGUCCUUGCUCCAGCCCACCAUCAACCUUCUCUACAAUUACCUCAGUGGAACAAUUCCUUUCCAUUUCUGUGGGACAUCAGAGCCUACCCAGCAAGUGUUGGUGAGUUGCAGUCCUCGUGGAAAUAAUAACACUCCUUAUGUGCUUGCUCAUAAAAUAUGAACUGAAGGUGAUCACUGAGAUUGAGACCUGCUGUAAAACACCAGAAUGGCAGAUAAAAAUGAUAUACUUGGAAACAAACAGCAAAACAAAUAUAGCAGGCUUAUAGAAAGCAGAGAUGACAACCAAAACUUCUGUAAUGUGUUAUAGUAUGCUGUCAAAAUCUAGAGCAAUACACAGAGGAAAUUGCUUGAUCAACAGAAUCUGCUGGCGAUCUGAAAAACAGGUAACUUCUAAAUGAUGGAUUUAAGGGUCAUUUGCUGAUGCCUGCUGAGGGGCCUGUGCCUGGUGAAAGUUUACAGAGCAUCUUGUACAUCCUACUCCCCCAGAAAUACUGAAUGGAACCUGCUUGUAGGAACCCCAAGAGGUAAAUGCCAAUUAAUGCAUCUGAAGUUCUGUCAGACACUAUGAAAAAAAAAGUCAGUGUAAGUCAUUUUGUGGGUUUUGUUGUUGGUGGUGGUUCAUUGGGUUGUUUUGCUGUUUCAUCUAAUGUAGUGUUAAAACCAGAAAUGUCAAAUUA
Molecule: long non-coding RNA, 726 nt
Organism: Cygnus atratus (black swan)
Lineage: Eukaryota; Metazoa; Chordata; Aves; Anseriformes; Anatidae
Exons: 3
Source: RefSeq, a predicted model, not a curated record